This 395-nucleotide ribosomal RNA is filed under the name uncultured bacterium. Its description in RNAcentral is "bacterial SSU rRNA". It matches the Rfam family "Bacterial small subunit ribosomal RNA", at positions 28 to 420 of the family's 1533-position model. The record is from RNAcentral.
GAUGAACGCUGGCGGCGUGCUUAACACAUGCAAGUCGAGCGAUGAAGUUUCCUUCGGGAAACGGAUUAGCGGCGGACGGGUGAGUAACACGUGGGUAACCUGCCUCAUAGAGUGGAAUAGCCUUCCGAAAGGAAGAUUAAUACCGCAUAAUGUUGAAAGAUGGCAUCAUCAUUUAACCAAAGGAGCAAUCCGCUAUGAGAUGGACCCGCGGCGCAUUAGCUAGUUGGUGGGGUAACGGCCUACCAAGGCGACGAUGCGUAGCCGACCUGAGAGGGUGAUCGGCCACAUUGGGACUGAGACACGGCCCAGACUCCUACGGGAGGCAGCAGUGGGGAAUAUUGCACAAUGGGGGAAACCCKGAUGCAGCAACGCCGCGUGAGUGAUGAAGGUUUUCG